This 253-nucleotide ribosomal RNA is filed under the name uncultured bacterium. RNAcentral describes it as "partial 16S ribosomal RNA". It matches the Rfam family "Bacterial small subunit ribosomal RNA", at positions 524 to 776 of the family's 1533-position model. The record is from RNAcentral.
UACGUAGGGGGCAAGCGUUGUCCGGAAUCAUUGGGCGUAAAGCGCGUGUAGGCGGCCCUGCAAGUCGGAUGUGAAAUCCCACGGCUCAACCGUGGAAGUGCAUUCGAAACUGCAGGGCUAGAGUCCUGGAGAGGAAGGUGGAAUGCUUGGUGUAGAGGUGAAAUUCGUAGAUAUCAAGCGGAACACCGGUGGCGAAGGCGGCCUUCUGGACAGUGACUGACGCUGAGACGCGAAAGCGUGGGGAGCAAACAGG